Molecule: long non-coding RNA, 1313 nt
Organism: Pezoporus flaviventris
Lineage: Eukaryota; Metazoa; Chordata; Aves; Psittaciformes; Psittacidae
Exons: 3
Source: RefSeq, a predicted model, not a curated record
GGUGAGAAGGAUUCCUCAGGAAGACCUUAUUACUUUGCUUUUGAAAAGUUUGAGGUGCAGACAACAGGAGGGUCAAACAGUCCGGCUGGUUUUCUGAGGAUUUAGAGAUCAUUUCAGACCUGAGGAAGUGGUCUGGAAGCUGCUGUAAUUCUAUCUGUGCGGCAUCAGAAUUGCCAGAAGGAGAUUUUUAGAAUACAGCUGCCUACAGAGAGUCUGGGAACUACAGAUCUCAAAUAAAAGUAUGAACUACUUUUCUACAAAUCUACAGUUAGAAGCAAGAUAACCUACAAAAACAAUAUCCACCAGGUGAUUUCAUCAUUAGAAUGCUUAAUUAUAUUAACUUAUGUAGACACAUUGACUUAGAAGAAUUUGGAGUAUUCCAGAUGAUUUCAAUCAUAACAUAAAACAUAUUUUAAGAAAACACUGGUUAUAGAAAUCAAUCUUUUGGCUUCUUCAUUCAUAGAGUCACUCAUCACUAGCCUGGAAUACCUUUUUUUUUGUUGUUGUUGUUGGCUGUAAGCUUUGGUUUCCAAUGCUUGACCUUUCAAGAAUGACUAGAUAAUUAGAGGUAUCAUAUCCACCAAGGCCACUGUGGUUACCUCCUACCUUGCUGUUUUGGAGAGAUGUGCACAGUAUUUUUGAAGCAGAGUAUAAUUACAGAUAGACUCACAGGUAUGAGUGAAAAAGAAGAAUGCAAUCUUUCUCACUCUGUACAUGUAUCAUGUUCCCUCACACAUCUGGACCACCCAUAACACUUAUUUUGCAAGCUGUUGAAGUCUAGCCUGGACUCAUGAGCUGGUUGUUGUUCCUUUGUCCUAGUAAUGCCUUGGUUCCAUCCCAGUGAUAUUUCAAAGCUUGUAUUUCUGAGGGUGGAAAAAUACAAAUUAAAUGGAAGAAUAAACAAUGCUGUUUUAACAACGAAAGUUUUGGAGGGCUUUUUUAAUACCAUAACAACAAAUGUUGGUAGAUUAGACAUAGUAAUUGAGGUAUACAAAUGGACUGAAUAAAUCAGAAGCUUAAGCAUGACAGAGAUCUGGAAUUUAUCUAACUCAGAGAUGCAAAAACGGUCUGGAAUUUACAUUCCAAGUAUGGAAGCAGGAUGAGUAACCAUCUCAACAGAGUAAAAAACAAGGAAAAGGUCUAUAUGGAAUGGAGAACGGAAAUUAUUGAAGCAAGCUGUUAAUUGGAGAUUUGGAGGCAAAGGACUCAACGAUGAUUAGCCAAACCUAGACUUUGCUAGAUCUUGCAAAGAUUAAACCAAAAAGCAAAAGACUAGUGGUUUAGGUAGCACAUUGCAACUAGCACAAAAGGAA